Molecule: ribosomal RNA, 440 nt
Filed under: uncultured bacterium
Lineage: Bacteria
Description: partial 16S ribosomal RNA
Rfam family: Bacterial small subunit ribosomal RNA
Source: RNAcentral
CCUACGGGCGGCAGCAGUAGGGAAUAUUGCUCAAUGGGGGAAACCCUGAAGCAGCAACGCCGCGUGGAGGAUGAAGGUUUUAGGAUUGUAAACUCCUUUUGUGAGAGAAGAUAAUGACGGUAUCUCACGAAUAAGCACCGGCUAACUCCGUGCCAGCAGCCGCGGUAAUACGGAGGGUGCAAGCGUUACUCGGAAUCACUGGGCGUAAAGAGUGCGCAGGCGGGCUUGUAAGUCAGAUGUGAAAUAUUGUAGCUUAACUACAGAACUGCAUUUGAAACUAUGAGUCUAGAGUGUGGGAGGGGUAGGUGGAAUGCUUGGUGUAGGGGUAAAAUGCGUAGAUAUCAAGAGGAAUACUGAUUGCGAAGGCGACCUACUGGAACAUUACUGACGCUCAUGCACGAAAGCGUGGGGAGCAAACAGGAUUAGAUACCCGAGUAGUC